This 29-nucleotide non-coding RNA is filed under the name Mus musculus (house mouse). The record is from RNAcentral. Lineage: Eukaryota; Metazoa; Chordata; Mammalia; Rodentia; Muridae.
UGCAGAAAGUUUUGGUCAUAUUUGUGUUA